GAUGAACGCUGGCGGCGUGCCUAAUACAUGCAAGUAGAACGCUGAAGGAAGGAGCUUGCUCUUUCCGGAUGAGUUGCGAACGGGUGAGUAACGCGUAGGUAACCUGCCUGGUAGCGGGGGAUAACUAUUGGAAACGAUAGCUAAUACCGCAUAACAGUAGAUAUUGCAUGAUAUCUGCUUGAAAGGUGCAAUUGCACCACUACCAGAUGGACCUGCGUUGUAUUAGCUAGUUGGUGAGGUAACGGCUCACCAAGGCGACGAUACAUAGCCGACCUGAGAGGGUGAUCGGCCACACUGGGACUGAGACACGGCCCAGACUCCUACGGGAGGCAGCAGUAGGGAAUCUUCGGCAAUGGACGGAAGUCUGACCGAGCAACGCCGCGUGAGUGAAGAAGGUUUUCGGAUCGUAAAGCUCUGUUGUAAGAGAAGAACGAGUGUGAGAGUGGAAAGUUCACACUG
RNAcentral lists this ribosomal RNA (459 nucleotides) under Streptococcus australis. Its description in RNAcentral is "bacterial SSU rRNA". It matches the Rfam family "Bacterial small subunit ribosomal RNA", at positions 28 to 471 of the family's 1533-position model. Lineage: Bacteria; Bacillati; Bacillota; Bacilli; Lactobacillales; Streptococcaceae. The record is from RNAcentral.